This is a long non-coding RNA of Passer domesticus (house sparrow), 1983 nucleotides long. RefSeq lists it as uncharacterized. NCBI's taxonomy places the organism in Eukaryota, Metazoa, Chordata, Aves, Passeriformes, Passeridae. The transcript has 2 exons. The record is from RefSeq and is a predicted model, not a curated record.
CUCCAAGAGGCAGAGAUCUGGCUUAGGAGAGUCUGGAAGGAGCUCAGAGGAGCUUAGAUGCAGGACCUGCGCUGCGACCGGAGCGGUCAGGGAAUCCUACGAUUCGCCCCAGAAUCAGAAGCCGGAGAAACUCGCUAAUGCUUUCGAUAUAAAAGGCUGCAGCCCCGGAGCACCGAAGGGCUGGCGGGAGCCGCACACGUGUCACCGCAGUUUCCCGGCGCGGGCAGGGCAGAGGAAGGCGCACCGCGGCUGCAGCCCCCGCUCCGGCAAGGGCGAGCCCCGCAGCACGGCGAGCGGGGCCACCAGCCCCGCGCCCCCCGCGCGGGCAGAGGGAGCCAGCCGGGGAGGAAGGGAGGGGCUGGGAAGACCGAAAAACCCCGGGGUGUGGUACCACCAGGGAAAGAGGUGAAGAUCUCCAGGGGAAUAUGUAUCUAAGAGCCGCCCUCAUUGCUCACAUACACCCUCUGAGUGUGGGAUUAUUAUCUCUGUACCAAGCGCCCAUGGAAACUGGCAGAGCAUCACUGCACAGCUUUCUUGUGCAAUGAAUUGGAAAAGAGUGCCUACAAGGAUGGUCCCAGGAGCAAGUAGGGCUAAUGAGGACAUUGUGUACACAGGAGAAGUGACAAUUAUAUGGAGUUGUGAUGAACAGCCCAGAAACCUCACAGUUAUUCACACACCUGAAAACAAGAGGAGCUUGUUAUCACAGUCAGGGACUUGGAAGCCAAGGUGAGAAGAAGAUGUAAACCAGAGGCCAGUGAAGCAUCAGAAACCAAUGGUAGUGAGUUGGAUGUAGGUGAAAAGGGGAUCAGCUUUUCUUGUGUGCUUUUCAACCUGGGCUGAGCAAAGCAUGAGAAGAUGCAGCACUGGAGGUGGAAAGCUCCCUCCAGCAGGGUGCUGCCUGACCAAGGGAGGAGACCUGUGUGCUGUGGCCAUUUUAUGGGCACAUAUUGCAUGAGCAUCCAGCACAAGAGAAAAAUGCAAGUGCAAUGGGCAGGGAGAUGCCAGAAAAGUCUAUUCAACCCCACAGUCCUAUCUCCACCAUGUCCUUGGAAAAACAGGCAGCAAGGCCUGGGUUGCAGGCAGGCUGCUGUGGUGGGCACUGCUGUGGGAAUUCCCAGUUUGGGAAACAGUGUGGAGGAGUUGAGGUCUUCUUACUCCCCAGCUGUAAAAUUGCUUCCCACCUCUUUCCUUGGUGGUGGCAUAUCCCCACUCUGCCCUGUUUUGUAAAGGCAUUAUUGGGCUUCACUGUGCUGUAUUCUCUCAGUCAAGAGCUGAACUGAGCUCAGCGUGGCUUGAGGUAUAGAUGUUCCUGUUUAUCACAGUGUAGAUGUGCUGGCAGGACAUUACCAUCUCCCGGCAAAGAAAAGGUUAACACUGUCCUCUUUGUGCUGCAUCUCAGGAGGAGUGCAGUCACACAUUUUUAUUUUUGGUUCUGCUGCAUGAGAACAACUGCUCUUUGUAACCUGCAUGGCACAAAGGACGCGUUUCUUCCGGCAGCAUUUAAGAGAGGGCAUAAAAAAGGAAGCAGAGGAAGAAAGUUCGUAUUCAGUGAGUGCCAGGUUGUCAAGGUUUCCUCUGCUUUCAGACAUAAUUUUUUUCUCCUGACAGACACAAAAGAGAUUUAAAACUGUUUGGUGCAAAAUGGAGCUUCAAAAGCAGCACUGUCUGUGUCUGACAGAAGGUGAAGAGCACAGCUCAGGACCUCCUGUACAAGACAACAUUGCUGUCAUCGUGGUGCAAACAGGAGCAUUAGACCAGGUCUGUGCUCAGCUUGUCACAAAGCUUGCCCUGUGUGAGUCUCAAAAUCCUGCACUGCUUUCAGCCCACCUCCCAGAGGGGCUGUGGGCUGGUUCAGCCCUACAAGGACAUGGGUCAAGUUCAGUCUGCUGCAAAGAAAGAGGCUUUCCGAGGUCUCGCUCUUCAGUUUCCUUCCCCAUUUGUAUUGUUUUCUGUUUUAAUAAAUUGUGGACUGCCAGCAAAAUC